This 485-nucleotide long non-coding RNA is filed under the name Homo sapiens (human). Its description in RNAcentral is "non-protein coding LINC00466:16". Lineage: Eukaryota; Metazoa; Chordata; Mammalia; Primates; Hominidae. The record is from RNAcentral.
CACCUCGAAAUGAUCCAAGGCAAUUUAAAAAAAGUUGUCUGAUUACCUUUACUAAUGCAUUGAGAUUUAAAUACCAGGGCUUUCAUUUAGCUUUCCGUUCCUCUGUGUCGAAGAGGAUGUGGUUACUUACUUACUCUUAUUUCUCUAGACACUCUGUGGAUUGUGACCUGUUGGUGGGCCAUGAAAUCAAUUUGGGGGUUUGAGAGCAUCAUUCUUUUAAUAAAACAGAAGAGAAUCAUCUGCAAUAAGGAACCCAUGGAUGAAUACCAUCUGGUCCUGGUGAUUUACUGCACAGAGUCCCUCAAGUUGCUCCAUACCUUUCUCCUGAGAGACUGAAGAAUCUCUGUCAAGGCCGUUCUCUGCUUUGCCAUAAAAUGUGUCCUUGGAACAAGAAUUUCCCCAUUGUCUUCUUCAAUAAAUACUGAUUCAAAGUAUUCAUUUAGCUGUUCCUCUCCUUCAUCAUUCCAUUUAACAUUCUCUUUCUC